UAUAUAUACCUUUUUCUCUUUUGUAACAGUAAACAUGAAUUUCGAUCUGAUAAGGUGGGUCCACUUUUCCUUGUACCUUGCACUUCCUACGAAGCUAGCUUGUUCAAGGAAAUUGACCAACAUCAGGGUGAUGAUUAAUGAGAGAUUUCUGGAAGGAAGAGGAUACUAAUUAACACCGUAGUAGAGGUGCAUGAAAUUAAACGAGCUAGGUGGGCUAAUUAAAGUUUAUUGAUUCAUGAUUUAAAAUUGGGAGAUUUUUAGCUGUGUAUUGAUCUUUAUAUUAAUUGCUUCGAUUACAUUCUUUUCUCACGGUAGGAAGAAAAAAAAAAGAACACGGGAGAAGAAAAAUAAUAAUAAAAAUAAAAAUCCACGCUCGGUGGCAGCUUGUGGAAAUUGUGGGAAUGAGGGCGUCUGAUAUGAGAAGCAAAGCAUUUAAAGUGGCGGUAAUCGUGCACGCAAGCACACGAGGCAACAUACACAUGGAGCACACAUGGAUGGGACCCACUGCUGUCCAAACAUAGGCUUACAGCCCUACAAGAAUCAAUGAUGGAGAAGUAACCCUUCUUUUUCAUUGGUUCAAAAGCAUACUAUUAGCCCCUUGUGGUCAAACCCUCCAAACUGCAUAGCCUUGUGAUAGGGUUUCUGUGAAUAUGCAUUCACAGAGUCUCUCUUUUUUUUCUUUUUCUUUUUUUUAACAAUAGUGUAAAUUGGGUUGUAAUUUAAAAAGGGAUCAAGCCCAGGUUUACAAGCA
Molecule: long non-coding RNA, 751 nt
Organism: Populus trichocarpa (black cottonwood)
Lineage: Eukaryota; Viridiplantae; Streptophyta; Magnoliopsida; Malpighiales; Salicaceae
Exons: 2
Source: RefSeq, a predicted model, not a curated record